GACGAACGCUGGCGGCGUGCCUAAUGCAUGCAAGUCGCACGGAGAGCCUUCGGGCUCUGAGUGGCGCACGGCUGAGGAACACGUGGGAAUCUGCCCGACCGUGGGGGAUAACGCGCCGAAAGGCGUGCUAAUCCCGCAUACGCUCGCAAGAGGAAAGCAGCAAUGCGCGGUCGGAGGAGCCUGCGGCCCAUCAGGUAGUUGGCGGGGUAACGGCCCACCAAGCCACUGACGGGUAGCUGGUCUGUGAGGACAACCAGCCAGACUGGGACUGAGACACGGCCCAGACUCCUACGGGAGGCAGCAGCAAGGAAUUUUCGUCAAUGGGCGCAAGCCUGAACGAGCAACGCCGCGUGGAGGAUGACGGCCUUCGGGUUGUAAACGUCCUUUUCCGGGGUACGUGAUAGUGACCGUACCCU
RNAcentral lists this ribosomal RNA (416 nucleotides) under uncultured bacterium. RNAcentral's name for it is "bacterial SSU rRNA". It matches the Rfam family "Bacterial small subunit ribosomal RNA", at positions 28 to 481 of the family's 1533-position model. The record is from RNAcentral.